This 380-nucleotide ribosomal RNA is filed under the name Eukaryota sp. Its description in RNAcentral is "SSU rRNA". It matches the Rfam family "Eukaryotic small subunit ribosomal RNA", at positions 587 to 975 of the family's 1831-position model. RNAcentral also lists the same sequence under 1 other name. The record is from RNAcentral.
AGCUCCAAUAGCGUAUAUUUAAGUUGUUGCAGUUAAAAAGCUCGUAGUUGGAUUUCGGGCCCAGGUGACCGGUCCGCCGUUUCGGUGUGCACUGGUUAGCUCGGUCUUUCUGCCGGGGACACGCUCCGUCUUAAUUGCCGGACGUGGAGUCGGCGAUGUUACUUUGAAAAAAUUAGAGUGUUCAAAGCAGGCUUACGCUCUGAAUACUAUAGCAUGGAAUAACACGAUAGGACUCCGAGCCUAUUUUGUUGGUCUUCGGGACCGGAGUAAUGAUUAAGAGGGACAGUUGGGGGCAUUCGUAUUACGGUGUCAGAGGUGAAAUUCUUGGAUUUCCGUAAGACGAACUUCUGCGAAAGCAUUUGCCAAGGAUGUUUUCAUUA